GUGCCACCGCCGCGGUAAUACGUAGGUGGCAAGCGUUGUCCGGAUUUAUUGGGCGUAAAGCGAGCGCAGGCGGAAAAAUAAGUCUAAUGUGAAAGCCCUCGGCUUAACCGAGGAACUGCAUCGGAAACUGUUUUUCUUGAGUGCAGAAGAGGAGAGUGGAACUCCAUGUGUAGCGGUGGAAUGCGUAGAUAUAUGGAAGAACACCAGUGGCGAAGGCGGCUCUCUGGUCUGCAACUGACGCUGAGGCUCGAAAGCAUGGGUAGCAAACAGG
RNAcentral lists this ribosomal RNA (271 nucleotides) under uncultured bacterium. RNAcentral describes it as "partial 16S ribosomal RNA". It matches the Rfam family "Bacterial small subunit ribosomal RNA", at positions 505 to 776 of the family's 1533-position model. The record is from RNAcentral.